This 1033-nucleotide ribosomal RNA is filed under the name uncultured bacterium. Its description in RNAcentral is "bacterial SSU rRNA". It matches the Rfam family "Bacterial small subunit ribosomal RNA", at positions 337 to 1392 of the family's 1533-position model. The record is from RNAcentral.
UCCUACGGGAGGCAGCAGUGGGGAAUAUUGCACAAUGGGCGAAAGCCUGAUGCAGCAACGCCGCGUGAGUGAUGAAGGCCUUCGGGUUGUAAAGCUCUGUCUUUGGGGACGAUAAUGACGGUACCCAAGGAGGAAGCCACGGCUAACUACGUGCCAGCAGCCGCGGUAAUACGUAGGUGGCGAGCGUUGUCCGGAUUUACUGGGCGUAAAGGAUGCGUAGGUGGAUAUUUAAGUCAGAUGUGAAAUACCCGAGCUUAACUUGGGUGCUGCAUUUGAAACUGGAUAUCUAGAGUGCAGGAGAGGUAAGUGGAAUUCCUAGUGUAGCGGUGAAAUGCGUAGAGAUUAGGAAGAACACCAGUGGCGAAGGCGACUUACUGGACUGUAACUGACACUGAGGCAUGAAAGCGUGGGUAGCAAACAGGAUUAGAUACCCUGGUAGUCCACGCCGUAAACGAUGAGUACUAGGUGUAGGGGGGUCCAACCUUCUGUGCCGCAGUUAACACAAUAAGUACUCCGCCUGGGAAGUACGAUCGCAAGAUUAAAACUCAAAGGAAUUGACGGGGGCCCGCACAAGCAGCGGAGCAUGUGGUUUAAUUCGAAGCAACGCGAAGAACCUUACCUGGACUUGACAUCCCCUGAAUAGUGCAGAGAUGCAUGAAGCCCUUCGGGGCAGGGAGACAGGUGGUGCAUGGUUGUCGUCAGCUCGUGUCGUGAGAUGUUAGGUUAAGUCCUGCAACGAGCGCAACCCUUAUCAUUAGUUGCUACCAUUAAGUUGAGCACUCUAGUGAGACUGCCCGGGUUAACCGGGAGGAAGGUGGGGAUGACGUCAAAUCAUCAUGCCCCUUAUGUCCAGGGCUACACACGUGCUACAAUGGUAAGUACAGAGAGAUGCAAGACCGCGAGGUGGAGCCAAACUCAAAAACUUAUCCCAGUUCGGAUUGUAGGCUGCAACUCGCCUACAUGAAGCCGGAGUUGCUAGUAAUCGCGAAUCAGAAUGUCGCGGUGAAUACGUUCCCGGGCCUUGUACACACCG